Equus caballus (horse) is the source of this 612-nucleotide non-coding RNA. The record is from RefSeq and is a predicted model, not a curated record. NCBI's taxonomy places the organism in Eukaryota, Metazoa, Chordata, Mammalia, Perissodactyla, Equidae.
ACUUCAAUUGACAUACCCAUCGCUUGCCUGAGGUUAGGAGAACAAGAGUAACUGAACUUUCUCCAAGAUGUCCUGCCAGCAAAACCAGCAGAAGAGCCAGCUCCCUGCCAAGUUCUUCCCCAAAUGUCCACCCAAGUGCCCUGCUCAGGCCCCUCAAGCCCCUGCUCCCUGCUCCCCUCCCGACCCCUCCUGCUAUGCCCCCAGUUGCUGUAUUUCUGGCUUUGGAGGCUGCUCCUGUCUGGUGUCUCAUCGGUUUCCACGCAUCUGCCUAUGCCAGCCCCAGCCUUCCGACUGCUGCCUGAGAGAAUCCUCUGGAUGCUCCAGUUGUUGCCAUGGCCUUGGGGGUUGCAGCUUUUGAGGAACCAAAGAUCCACAGCCAAGGACCAGCCUAGAAUGGACGUCUUUCCUCACUCUAACCCUUGUCCUCCCCUCUCCUCCUGAACUAAGCUGCCUAGAUGUGUAGACGGUGGAUUCCUCUUUUUGCUGAGAACCUCAGACCUCAUGGCCUUGGCUCUUAUCCUACAUCAGGGAUACCUGAAUACUACAGAAAACUCUGCUUCCCAAAGCCUAUCAAUGUGAAAAAAUAAAGCUUGUUUUUCCUGCUACCCUGAA